AUGGAUGAGUGGGUUCGCCAGGCCGAGGCGUGGGCGGGCCAGGCCGAGCGCUGGAUCCGCCAGCAGCCCCCGGAGCAGAUUUACGUCGCCGUCGCCGUGAUUGCCGUCACAAUUCUGGUGCUCCUCGCAGCUUCUUGUCUGAAAUCAUCGAAAUCAAAUACCAUUGUGCUAUCCGGGCUAAGUGGAAGUGGUAAAACUAUUCUUUUCUACCAGCUUCGUGAUGGGUCAUCUCAUCAAGGAACUGUGACAUCGAUGGAUCCUAACAAUGAUACGUUUGUGCUACAUUCAGAGCUUGAAAGGAAAGGCAAAGUUAAACCUGUCCAUGUUGUUGAUGUUCCUGGUCAUGCAAGGCUGAAACCCAAGCUGGAUGAAUUCCUGCCUCGGGCAGCUGGAGUUGUUUUUGUUGUUGAUGCUCAGGAUUUCUUGUCUAGCAUGCAAGCUGCUGCAGAGUACUUAUAUGACAUUUUGACGAAGGCUACUGUGGUGAAGAAAAGGAUUCCUGUUCUUAUAUUCUGCAAUAAAACAGACAAAGUUACCGCUCACUCGAAGGAGUUCAUCAAGAAGCAGCUGGAAAAAGAAGUGAACAAGCUUCGGGAAUCGAGGAAUGCCAUAUCAUCUGCUGACAUCACUGAUGAAGUUGAGCUUGGUGUCCCUGGAGAGGCAUUCAACUUCAGUCAAUGCCAGAACAAGGUGACAGUUGCUGAAGGCGCUGGUCUCACCGGUAAUGUUUCAGCAGUCGAGCAAUUCAUCCGCGAGCACGUCAGGGCUUAG
Molecule: ribosomal RNA, 771 nt
Filed under: Triticum aestivum (bread wheat)
Lineage: Eukaryota; Viridiplantae; Streptophyta; Magnoliopsida; Poales; Poaceae
Description: partial small subunit ribosomal RNA
Source: RNAcentral